Molecule: long non-coding RNA, 804 nt
Organism: Nyctereutes procyonoides (raccoon dog)
Lineage: Eukaryota; Metazoa; Chordata; Mammalia; Carnivora; Canidae
Exons: 3
Source: RefSeq, a predicted model, not a curated record
CCGGGCUGGACGGCGCCGGGGGCCGGUGGGGCGGGGACCCGCACCCGGGGUCCCCCUGCGCGGGCUCCCUCAGAAAAUGGAGAUUAUAAAAGUAUCCACACCUCAUGGGGUUGUAUGAAGAUUAAGUGGGAGAAUACACAUAAGCACCUAGCCCACUCCUUGAAACCAGAUAAGAUGCUGUUCAUGGAUAAAGUCACCACUAUGUAAAAGCACUGUGCCCUUCUUUGGAAGGAGGACCUGAGUGACCAAGCAGUCUGUCACUAAGCAAGAUCAAACUGCCAGCAUUCCGGAUGACAGGAAGUUCGUGGUGACCUUGUCAAAUCAGAGAAAUGAUCAGUUGGAAACCUGACUUCCAGAGGAAAGAAGUGGGGAAAGGAAACACACAAGGACAAAAAACACUGAAUAGACUCAGGACAAACUGCCCUUUUUUUUUUUUUUUUUUUUUGCUUUGCUCUCAUAUUUAAAAGAAGUUGGAACUGGCCUAACAUAUUAAGCAAAAAUAACAGUUUGGAGAAGGAUACCUUGUUCUUGUCAGUACCCUGCAACCUAAAUCCUAUGAAAAAAUAGAUAAAAGUAUCCUGAACAGAUGAAGCUGACAAUUUUCCAUAUAAUACAUUUGGAUAAGUGAAGAUAUUCUCUUAAAAAUUAAAUUCAGGGCAGCCCUGGUGGCUCAGUAGUUUAGUACCGCCUUCAGCCCAGGGCAUGAUACUGGACACCCAGAAUCAAGUCCCAUGUCUGGCUCCCUGCGUGGAGCCUGCUUCUCCCUCUGCCUGUGUCUCUACCUCUCUCUCAUUCUGUGUCUCU